UACGAAGGGGGCUAGCGUUGCUCGGAAUCACUGGGCGUAAAGGGCGCGUAGGCGGAUCUUUUAAGUCGGGGGGUGAAAGCCCAGGGCUCAACCCUGGAAUUGCCUUCGAUACUGGAGAUCUUGAGCCGGAAGAGGUAAGUGGAACUGCGAGUGUAGAGGUGAAAUUCGUAGAUAUUCGCAAGAACACCAGUGGCGAAGGCGGCUUACUGGUCCGGUUCUGACG
This 223-nucleotide ribosomal RNA is filed under the name uncultured bacterium. Its description in RNAcentral is "partial 16S ribosomal RNA". It matches the Rfam family "Bacterial small subunit ribosomal RNA", at positions 524 to 745 of the family's 1533-position model. The record is from RNAcentral.